GCGAAGCUUGGGCGAGAAGAGGGAAUAGUGAAAUCGUAGCCUGACGAACAGAAACCUAAUACAGAGGCGCGCACGGCGGAUAAGCGGGCAGUAAAGUCGCGAAGUCCAAAAGGCAACCAUAACCCGUACGUGUAAAUUAGGUAGGUAGACAAGGAAAGAAU
This 161-nucleotide non-coding RNA is filed under the name bovine gut metagenome. The record is from RNAcentral.